This 89-nucleotide small nucleolar RNA is filed under the name Cicer arietinum (chickpea). The record is from RNAcentral. Lineage: Eukaryota; Viridiplantae; Streptophyta; Magnoliopsida; Fabales; Fabaceae.
GAGCAGAUGAUGAAUGAAGAGAUAUCAUUAAUUGCUUAUUGGUUAUUCCAUGAAGCUAUCCUAAUCGAGCUUUUUAAAACUGAUGCUCA